GCACCCGCCCCGAACGUGGUGGUACCUGUGUGAAUUGAAGCGGUAUAUGCAUGGCUUACUGGAACACAGUGAGGAACUGGUUUUGAACCCGUGGUUGUAUUCAUCAAAGCUUGUGGUGGUGCACGACGAACGCCAGGAAGUAGGUCGUUCAUCUGUGUUGUGUUAUAAUUGAAACCUUACUUCAUGUCUGUCGCUCGUGUGUUUGCACGUCUCAGCAAAGAUCCAGAUACAAAGGUUGGAGCUUGCAUUGUAAACGAGCAAAACCAGAUUGUGGGUGUAGGCUACAACACGAUACAAGAAAGUGGGGAAG
Molecule: long non-coding RNA, 310 nt
Organism: Liolophura sinensis
Lineage: Eukaryota; Metazoa; Mollusca; Polyplacophora; Chitonida; Chitonidae
Exons: 4
Source: RefSeq, a predicted model, not a curated record